Molecule: long non-coding RNA, 1761 nt
Organism: Oncorhynchus tshawytscha (Chinook salmon)
Lineage: Eukaryota; Metazoa; Chordata; Actinopteri; Salmoniformes; Salmonidae
Source: Ensembl
UAGACCAUAGUGUGUUAUCAUUUCAGUAGUAGACCAGUUAGACCAUAGUGUGUUAUCAUUUCAGUAGUAGACCAGUUAGACCAUAGUGGUUAAGUAAGGAGACUUAACAUCUGAGAGAUGUACAGUAGCUAUACAUUAUGUUCCUGAUAAGACUAUGUAACACUGUACAUAAGGACUAUGUAACACUGUACAUAAGGACUACUUAACAGAUCAACCUGCAGCUGUUGACAUAAGCAUUUAUGAACUGUUUAUGCACUUCCUAUGAAUGUGUAAUGAAUGUUUUAUGAUGUCCUUACAGUAUCUAUGUACCCGUCAAAUAAAGUGUUCCCAACUACUGUAUGUACUGAGACUGGAGUUCGGACUAAAUGAGAGAAAGGACUUCAUGGCACUGCCUUGGCUUUUAAGCUGGUAUGGCACUAGGCCUGGUUUGGCACUAGGCUUGGUUUGGCACUAGGCUUUGUUUGGCACUAGGCUUGGCACUAGGCAUGGUUUGGCACUAGGCUUGGCACUAGGCAUGGUUUGGCACUAGGCUUGGCACUAGGCCUGGUUUGGCACUAGGCAUGGUUUGGCACUAGGCAUGGUUUGGCACGAGGCAUGGUUUGGCAGGCAUGGUUUGGCACGAGGCAUGGUUUGGCACGAGGCAUGGUUUGGCACUAGGCAUGGCUUGGCACUAGGCAUGGCUUGGCACUAGGCCUGGUUUGGCACUAGGUCUGGUUUGGCACUAGGCCUGGUUUGGCACUAGGCCUGGUUUGGCACUAGGCUUGGUUUGGCACUAGGCUUGGUUUGGCACUAGGCAUGGUUUGGCACGGUUUGGCACUAGGCAUGGUUUGGCACUAGGCUUGGCACUAGGCUUGGUUUGGCACUAGGCUUGGCACUAGGCUUGGUUUGGCACUAGGCAUGGUUUGGCACUAGGCUUGGUUUGGCACUAGGCUUGGCACUAGGCUUGGUUUGGCACUAGGCAUGGUUUGGCACUAGGCAUGGUUUGGCACUAGGCAUGGUUUGGCACUAGGCUUGGUUUGGCACUAGGCAUGGUUUGGCACUAGGCUUGGUUUGGCACUAGGCUUGGUUUGGCACUAGGCAUGGUUUGGCACUAGGCUUGGUUUGGCACUAGGCUUGGUUUGGUACUAGGCUUGGUUUGGCACUAGGCUUGGUUUGGCACUAGGCUUGGUUUGGCACUAGGCAUGGUUUGACACUAGGCAUGGUUUGGCACGGUUUGGCACUAGGCUUGGUUUGGCACUAGGCAUGGUUUGACACUAGGCAUGGUUUGGCACGGUUUGGCACUAGGCUUGGUUUGGCACUAGGCAUGGUUUGACACUAGGCAUGGUUUGACUGGUUGGCUAACAACAACAACUCAGAGCCUUUGAUUAUAAAUCUAAAAUGCACACUAGAUUGAAUGAGAGAAAUCUGAUUAAGCUUUUCCUCUGAUGCAAAUGAACAUGCAUCACGAACAUCACAGUGACGCAGUCCCCGCAGGCUGCUCUUCCUCAAACUGUACUGAGGUUCUCCAUAGAAACGUCUAUUUCUCUGGGUGUUCAGAUUAAGCAGUAGCUACAGUAACUGGUAGAGACUACCAACUACACUAAAGACUGGCGAGGGUAGCAUGCUUUACAGCACACACAAUAUGACUCAAUUCAGGAUGUGAAAAGAUAACGGACACUGUUAUUUGUCGUUUUAAGAAAUACAGUAUGGAAGUUUUCACCAUUGAUCACCAAAGAGGCUUCUUACUGGUAAUAGUAAACACCAAAUGUGAGUGAUCAAGGA